ACGCUCGACACCUACGGGAGGCAGCAGUGGGGAAUAUUGCACAAUGGGGGAAACCCUGAUGCAGCGAUGCCGCGUGAAGGAAGAAGUAUCUCGGUAUGUAAACUUCUAUCAGCAGGGAANAAAAUGACGGUACCUGACUAAGAAGCCCCGGCUAACUACGUGCCAACAGCCGCGGUAAUCUGAGCGGGCUGGCAAGGC
This 198-nucleotide ribosomal RNA is filed under the name uncultured bacterium. RNAcentral describes it as "partial 16S ribosomal RNA". It matches the Rfam family "Bacterial small subunit ribosomal RNA", at positions 328 to 539 of the family's 1533-position model. The record is from RNAcentral.